GGCUCUUCCCUCAUGACUGAAUAAAAAUAUUUGGUGGGCAAAGACAACAUACAGGUGCAGAAAAUAAACCCUCUUUUGCAACCCAGACCUCAUUGUUUGGUAUGAGUUUUGAUACAUACAAGAAGGAACAUG
Small nucleolar RNA from Phyllostomus discolor (pale spear-nosed bat), 132 nucleotides. RefSeq annotates it as small nucleolar RNA SNORA40. The record is from RefSeq and is a predicted model, not a curated record. The transcript has a single exon. Lineage: Eukaryota; Metazoa; Chordata; Mammalia; Chiroptera; Phyllostomidae.